Molecule: ribosomal RNA, 581 nt
Filed under: uncultured fungus
Lineage: Eukaryota; Fungi
Description: eukaryotic LSU rRNA
Rfam family: 5.8S ribosomal RNA (bases 217-370)
Source: RNAcentral
UUUAGAGGAAGUAAAAGUCGUAACAAGGUCUCCGUAGGUGAACCUGCGGAGGGAUCAUUACAAGUGACCCCGGUCUAACCACCGGGAUGUUCAUAACCCUUUGUUGUCCGACUCUGUUGCCUCCGGGGCGACCCUGCCUUCGGGCGGGGGCUCCGGGUGGACACUUCAAACUCUUGCGUAACUUUGCAGUCUGAGUAAAUUUAAUUAAUAAAUUAAAACUUUUAACAACGGAUCUCUUGGUUCUGGCAUCGAUGAAGAACGCAGCGAAAUGCGAUAAGUAAUGUGAAUUGCAGAAUUCAGUGAAUCAUCGAAUCUUUGAACGCACAUUGCGCCCCUUGGUAUUCCAUGGGGCAUGCCUGUUCGAGCGUCAUUUGUACCUUCAAGCUUUGCUUGGUGUUGGGUGUUUGUCUCGCCUCUGCGCGCAGACUCGCCUCAAAACAAUUGGCAGCCGGCGUAUUGAUUUCGGAGCGCAGUACAUCUCGCGCUUUGCACUCAUAACGACGACGAUCCAAAAGUACAUUUUUACACUCUUGACCUCGGAUCAGGUAGGGAUACCCGCUGAACUUAAGCAUAUCAAUAAG